GAAACAUCUUAGUACCCGGAGGAAGAGAAAGAAAAUUCGAUUCCCUUAGUAGCGGCGAGCGAAACGGGAAGAGCCCAAACCAACAAGCUUGCUUGUUGGGGUUGUAGGACACUCUAUACGGAGUUACAAAGGACGACAUUAGACGAAUCAUCUGGAAAGAUGAAUCAAAGAAGGUAAUAAUCCUGUAGUCGAAAAUGUUGUCUCUCUUGAGUGGAUCCUGAGUACGACGGAGCACGUGAAAUUCCGUCGGAAUCUGGGAGGACCAUCUCCUAAGGCUAAAUACUCUCUAGUGACCGAUAGUGAACCAGUACCGUGAGGGAAAGGUGAAAAGCACCCCGGAAGGGGAGUGAAAUAGAACCUGAAACCGUGUGCUUACAAGUAGUCAGAGCCCGUUAAUGGGUGAUGGCGUGCCUUUUGUAGAAUGAACCGGCGAGUUACGAUUUGAUGCAAGGUUAAGCAGUAAAUGUGGAGCCGUAGCGAAAGCGAGUCUGAAUAGGGCGUUUAGUAUUUGGUCGUAGACCCGAAACCAGGUGAUCUACCCUUGGUCAGGUUGAAGUUCAGGUAACACUGAAUGGAGGACCGAACCGACUUACGUUGAAAAGUGAGCGGAUGAACUGAGGGUAGCGGAGAAAUUCCAAUCGAACCUGGAGAUAGCUGGUUCUCUCCGAAAUAGCUUUAGGGCUAGCCUCAAGUGAUGAUUAUUGGAGGUAGAGCACUGUUUGGACGAGGGGCCCCUCUCGGGUUACCGAAUUCAGACAAACUCCGAAUGCCAAUUAAUUUAACUUGGGAGUCAGAACAUGGGUGAUAAGGUCCGUGUUCGAAAGGGAAACAGCCCAGACCACCAGCUAAGGUCCCAAAAUAUAUGUUAAGUGGAAAAGGAUGUGGCGUUGCCCAGACAACUAGGAUGUUGGCUUAGAAGCAGCCAUCAUUUAAAGAGUGCGUAAUAGCUCACUAGUCGAGUGACACUGCGCCGAAAAUGUACCGGGGCUAAACAUAUUACCGAAGCUGUGGAUUGUCCUUUGGACAAUGGUAGGAGAGCGUUCUAAGGGCGUUGAAGCAUGAUCGUAAGGACAUGUGGAGCGCUUAGAAG
This 1090-nucleotide ribosomal RNA is filed under the name Staphylococcus aureus. RNAcentral's name for it is "partial 23S ribosomal RNA". It matches the Rfam family "Bacterial large subunit ribosomal RNA", at positions 195 to 1288 of the family's 2925-position model. The record is from RNAcentral. Lineage: Bacteria; Bacillati; Bacillota; Bacilli; Caryophanales; Staphylococcaceae.